AUUGAACGCUGGCGGCAUGCUUUACACAUGCAAGUCGAACGGUAACAGGCCGCAAGGUGCUGACGAGUGGCGAACGGGUGAGUAAUGCAUCGGAACGUGCCCAGUCGUGGGGGAUAACGCAGCGAAAGCUGUGCUAAUACCGCAUACGAUCUAUGGAUGAAAGCGGGGGACCGUAAGGCCUCGCGCGAUUGGAGCGGCCGAUGUCGGAUUAGGUAGUCGGGGGGGUAAAGGCUCACCAAGCCAACGAUCUGUAGCUGGUCUGAGAGGACGACCAGCCACACUGGGACUGAGACACGGCCCAGACUCCUACGGGAGGCAGCAGUGGGGAAUUUUGGACAAUGGGCGCAAGCCUGAUCCAGCAAUGCCGCGUGCAGGAAGAAGGCCUUCGGGUUGUAAACUGCUUUUGUACGGAACGAAACGGCGAGCUCUAAUACAGUUUGCUAAUGACGGUACCGUAAGAAUAAGCACCGGCUAACUACGUGCCAGCCGCCGCCGUAA
RNAcentral lists this ribosomal RNA (498 nucleotides) under uncultured bacterium. Its description in RNAcentral is "partial 16S ribosomal RNA". It matches the Rfam family "Bacterial small subunit ribosomal RNA", at positions 30 to 523 of the family's 1533-position model. The record is from RNAcentral.